UACGGAGGGUGCGAGCGUUAAUCGGAAUAACUGGGCGUAAAGGGCACGCAGGCGGACUUUUAAGUGAGGUGUGAAAGCCCCGGGCUUAACCUGGGAAUUGCAUUUCAGACUGGGAGUCUAGAGUACUUUAGGGAGGGGUAGAAUUCCACGUGUAGCGGUGAAAUGCGUAGAGAUGUGGAGGAAUACCGAAGGCGAAGGCAGCCCCUUGGGAAUGUACUGACGCUCAUGUGCGAAAGCGUGGGGAGCAAACAGG
RNAcentral lists this ribosomal RNA (253 nucleotides) under Haemophilus pittmaniae HK 85. Its description in RNAcentral is "partial 16S ribosomal RNA". It matches the Rfam family "Bacterial small subunit ribosomal RNA", at positions 524 to 776 of the family's 1533-position model. RNAcentral also lists the same sequence under 1 other name. The record is from RNAcentral. Lineage: Bacteria; Pseudomonadati; Pseudomonadota; Gammaproteobacteria; Pasteurellales; Pasteurellaceae.